This 253-nucleotide ribosomal RNA is filed under the name uncultured bacterium. RNAcentral describes it as "partial 16S ribosomal RNA". It matches the Rfam family "Bacterial small subunit ribosomal RNA", at positions 524 to 776 of the family's 1533-position model. The record is from RNAcentral.
UACGUAUGGGGCGAGCGUUAUUCGGAUUUAUUGGGCGUAAAGCGUAUGUCGGGGGCUUGUUAAGUCGAGGGUGAAAUUUUCUUGCUCAACAUGAAAAUUGCUUUCGAAACUGGCAAGCUGGAGUUUUGGAGAGGAGAUUGGAAUUCCAGGUGUAGGGGUGAAAUCUGUAGAUAUCUGGAAGAACACCAGUGGCGAAGGCGAAUCUCUGGCCAAAAACUGACCCUUAGAUACGAAAGCCAGGGGAGCAAACGGG